RNAcentral lists this ribosomal RNA (497 nucleotides) under uncultured bacterium. RNAcentral's name for it is "bacterial SSU rRNA". It matches the Rfam family "Bacterial small subunit ribosomal RNA", at positions 15 to 507 of the family's 1533-position model. The record is from RNAcentral.
GAUCCUGGCUCAGAUUGAACGCUGGCGGAAUGCUUUACACAUGCAAGUCGAACGGCAGCACGGACUUCGGUCUGGUGGCGAGUGGCGAACGGGUGAGUAACAUAUCGGAACGUAUCCAAUAAUGGGGGAUAACUAAUCGAAAGGUUGGCUAAUACCGCAUACGCCCUACGGGGGAAAGCUAGGGACCUUCGGGCCUGGCGUUAAUGGAGCGGCCGAUAUCUGAUUAGCUAGUUGGUGGGGUAAAGGCCCACCAAGGCGACGAUCAGUAGCUGGUCUGAGAGGACGACCAGCCACACUGGAACUGAGACACGGUCCAGACUCCUACGGGAGGCAGCAGUGGGGAAUUUUGGACAAUGGGCGCAAGCCUGAUCCAGCAAUGCCGCGUGCAGGAAGAAGGCCUUCGGGUUGUAAACUGCUUUUGUACGGAACGAAAAGGCUCUGGUUAAUACCUGGGGCUGAUGACGGUACCGUAAGAAUAAGCACCGGCUAACUACGUG